UAAGUAAGUGGUGGAAAUUAAACCAAAUGGGAUAUCUUUAGUAAUUGCGAAUGAACAAGGAUAUGCUUAGCUUGACAAAUGGAGCUAUUGGCUUUGAAUUGUAUUUGUGGAAUGUAUUACCAACAGAGGUGCAGGUGCCAGCCUAUUAAAUAAAGCGUCAAUGAGGGUGAGAAUCCUGUUUGUCAUGUGCAGCCCUUUGUGCACGGUGUAUAUUUGCUGAGUCACACUCCUUGGCAUUGGAAUGCAAAGUGGGUGGUAAGUUUCAUGUACAGGUAAACAUGCAAUUGAGACUGAUAGCACACAAGUACCAUGAGGGAAAUAUGAAAAGGACUUUGAAAAGAGAAUUAAAUGAGUUUGUAUUUGCUGAACACAAAGUAAACAGACUUGAUUUGCUUGGUGGGAGUGUUGCACUUGCUUGACAAGAGCUUUGGGCUGUGGGUGUAAUGAUUCUUUCUUUGCAUGCCAGUUUCUAUUUGUACAUCUGAUCACCUUUGCACAUGAAUGAUAAGUCUCCUGUGGGGGGUGGAUUGCAUGUGCAUGUAAUGAUUUGUGUUUUGAUAAAUGUGUCUGGUGUAUGUGUGUGUUCCUGUGCUUGGGGAUGCUUCCUUCCUUGGACUUACAAGCCCUGACACACACAUGCUGGCAAAAUGCUUCUGCUUGACCCG
This 665-nucleotide ribosomal RNA is filed under the name Alexandrium tamarense. Its description in RNAcentral is "eukaryotic LSU rRNA". It matches the Rfam family "Eukaryotic large subunit ribosomal RNA", at positions 43 to 651 of the family's 3401-position model. The record is from RNAcentral. Lineage: Eukaryota; Dinophyceae; Gonyaulacales; Pyrocystaceae.